UUCCCUGUGGCUCAGUUGGUAGAGCAUGGUGUUUGCAACGCCAGGAUUGUGGGUUCGAUUCCCACGGGGGACC
This 73-nucleotide transfer RNA is filed under the name Salmo salar (Atlantic salmon). It matches the Rfam family "tRNA". From Rfam's summary of the family: Transfer RNA (tRNA) molecules are approximately 80 nucleotides in length. The record is from Rfam by way of RNAcentral. Lineage: Eukaryota; Metazoa; Chordata; Actinopteri; Salmoniformes; Salmonidae.